This 318-nucleotide ribosomal RNA is filed under the name uncultured soil bacterium. Its description in RNAcentral is "bacterial SSU rRNA". It matches the Rfam family "Bacterial small subunit ribosomal RNA", at positions 26 to 318 of the family's 1533-position model. The record is from RNAcentral.
AGAAUCAACGCUGGCGGCGUGCCUCAGACAUGCAAGUCGAACGCGAAAGUCCCCUUCGGGGGAUGAGUAGAGUGGCGCACGGGUGAGUAACACGUAGGUAAUCUACCUUCGGGUGGGGAAUAACCCAGGGAACUUGGGCUAACACCGCAUAAUGCAGCGGCACCACAUGGUGACAGUUGUUAAAGGCGGGGGUAUUUUUAGGACCUCGCGCCUGAAGAGGAGCCUGCGGCAGAUUAGCUAGUUAGGUAAGGUAACGGCUUAACCGAAGGCGAACGAUCGUAGUAACCGGCCUGGAGGCGGGCGGUCGGUACGAACGAC